ACCAGACUCCUACGGGAGGCAGCAGUGAGGAAUAUUGGUCAAUGGGCGAGAGCCUGAACCAGCCAAGUCGCGUGAGGGAAGACGGUCCUAUGGAUUGUAAACCUCUUUUGCCGGGGAGCAAAAAGCGGUACGUGUACCGCAUCGAGAGUACCCGGAGAAAAAGCAUCGGCUAACUCCGUGCCAGCAGCCGCGGUAAUACGGAGGAUGCGAGCGUUAUCCGGAUUUAUUGGGUUUAAAGGGUGCGUAGGCGGGCUGUUAAGUCAGCGGUAAAAUGUCGGGGCUCAACCCCGGCCUGCCGUUGAAACUGGCAGUCUCGAGUUGGAGAGAAGUAUGCGGAAUGCGCGGUGUAGCGGUGAAAUGCAUAGAUAUCACGCAGAACUCCGAUUGCGAAGGCAGCAUACCGGCGCGCAACUGACGCUCAUGCACGAAAGCGUGGGUAUCGAACAGGAUUAGAUACCCUGGUAC
RNAcentral lists this ribosomal RNA (465 nucleotides) under uncultured bacterium. RNAcentral's name for it is "bacterial SSU rRNA". It matches the Rfam family "Bacterial small subunit ribosomal RNA", at positions 330 to 793 of the family's 1533-position model. The record is from RNAcentral.